AGUGAACGCUGGCGGUAGGCCUAACACAUGCAAGUCGAACGGCAGCACAGUAAGAGCUUGCUCUUACGGGUGGCGAGUGGCGGACGGGUGAGGAAUACAUCGGAAUCUACUUUUUCGUGGGGGAUAACGUAGGGAAACUUACGCUAAUACCGCAUACGACCUACGGGUGAAAGCAGGGGAUCUUCGGACCUUGCGCGAUUGAAUGAGCCUAUGUCGGAUUAGCUAGUUGGCGGGGUAAAGGCCCACCAAGGCGACGAUCCGUAGCUCGACUGAGAGGAUGAUAAGCCAGACUGGAACUGAGAAAAGGUCCAAACUCCUACAGCAGCAACCAGUGGGGAAUAUUGGAAAAUGGGCGAAAGCCUGACAAAGGCAUACCGCGUGAGUGAAGAAGGACUUCGGGUUCUAAAGCCCUUUUGUUGGGAAAGAAAAGAAGUAGGUUAAUACCUAGCUGUUAUGACGGUACCCAAAGAAUGAGCACCGGCUAACUUCGUG
Molecule: ribosomal RNA, 492 nt
Filed under: uncultured bacterium
Lineage: Bacteria
Description: partial 16S ribosomal RNA
Rfam family: Bacterial small subunit ribosomal RNA
Source: RNAcentral